This 1281-nucleotide unclassified non-coding RNA is filed under the name Hevea brasiliensis (rubber tree). The record is from RNAcentral. Lineage: Eukaryota; Viridiplantae; Streptophyta; Magnoliopsida; Malpighiales; Euphorbiaceae.
CCACCUUUACGUAUGUAUAUAUAAAAUACAUUAAAGCAAGCAAAGCAUACAAAGCAAAUCCUUAUACCAAGAAAACAUCUCAAAAGGCAUAAAUCAAAAGCAUUACUUUUCAAGUGUCUUGCAAAAGCUCUCCCCAUCCUCUUUCUUCUAUCAAAAAGCAAAACCUCAAAAUAAUGGAAGACGAGGAAGACACGCCAUCACCCUUCUGGCUUCAAGCCACCGAUCGCCGCCACAGCCGCUUCCGCAGCCAAGCCUCUUCUAUCUUCCUCAACUCUGGUGUCCUUCUCAUAAUCUUACUUGUCAUAGCUUUUGUUUUUGUGUUCAUUAUUGUCCCUUCAUUUAUUUCUUUCACUUCCCGGAUUUUUAGACCACAUUUGAUCAAGAAAAGCUGGGAUUACCUUAAUUUUGUUCUUGUCUUCUUUGCUAUAAUUUGUGGAUUUCUUGGUAAAAAUAACAACAAUAAUAGCAACUCUGAAAGUCCAAGCUAUCACAGCAUAUCAAGUGUACAACGAGAUGUGCAGAGAUCAUGUCCAUCAACACCUGCUCAUAGAUGGUAUGAUCAGAAUCAUGAUCGGCCGGCGGUAGCGCCUUAUAAUAGCUUGAAUAGGUUAAGGAGCUUCAGUUCAUACCCAGAUCUCCGGCAAGAAUCCUUGUGGCUGACCAACGAUGAAAGGUGGCGAUUUUAUGAUGAUACCCAUCUUCAUAACUACAGGUUUUCAAGCUCAUCGGAUCAGCUCCAAGAUCAUCGCCCACAACAGCAGUAUCAGGCAAAAGAAGAACAAGAAGAAGAUGUUGUUACUAAAGAUAUAGCUGUUGAUAGUACUGUAAAGGAAGUUGUUUACACCCCACCACCUCCGUCUCCUCCUACUCAACCGCGGUCACCGCCAGUUCCACCACUUUCUCCGCAGCUGCCACCACCUAAGGCUAUGAGAAGAAAGGUGAAGAGAACGUAUCAAGAUCUGGGGCAUGAAAAGAGAGAAGAGAAGGGUUUGGAAGUUGAGAAAUCCUACAUAUCAUCAACUUAUCCAGCCCCGCCUCCGCCUCCACCUCCACCGCCACCGGUUGUCAGCAGGAAUGAGAAGAGGAGAGGUAAAGAUCUCUUGACUCCACUGAGAAGAAGGAAAAAGAAGCAGAGACAAAAGAGUGUUGAAAAUCUUGAGAGCUUAUUCGACCCUCAUCAUCCUUCAUCUCUACCUUUCAUACCACCACCAUCCCCACCGCCGCCUCCACCGCCGCCGCCACCUCCACCACCCCAUUUCUUCAAAAAUCUUUUCUCUUCCA